This 370-nucleotide ribosomal RNA is filed under the name uncultured organism. Its description in RNAcentral is "bacterial SSU rRNA". It matches the Rfam family "Bacterial small subunit ribosomal RNA", at positions 526 to 896 of the family's 1533-position model. The record is from RNAcentral.
CGUGGGGUGCGAGCGUUAAUCGGAAUUACUGGGCGUAAAGCGUGCGCAGGCGGUUUUGUAAGACAGAUGUGAAAUCCCCGGGCUCAACCUGGGACCUGCAUUUGUGACUGCAAGGCUAGAGUACGGUAGAGGGGGAUGGAAUUCCGCGUGUAGCAGUGAAAUGCGUAGAUAUGCGGAGGAACACCGACGGCGAAGGCAAUCCCCUGGACCUGUACUGACGCUCAUGCACGAAAGCGUGGGGAGCAAACAGGAUUAGAUACCCUGGUAGUCCACGCCCUAAACGAUGUCAACUGGUUGUUGGGUCUUUACUGACUCAGUAACGAAGCUAACGCGUGAAGUUGACCGCCUGGGGAGUACGGCCGCAAGGUUG